UUAAAUAUUUUAUAGUACUCAGACAUCACUAAACACAGAGUUUUGGGUCUCUGGCAGGCGCUGGUCAGCCGGAGCCGACGCCCGAAGGCGGCGUGCCAAAGCAACAAAGGUAGGUAGACACGGUUUUGGGUAUUGAACCCAUUUAAAUCUUGCGACAAAAACGGGGCGUUAUUAAUGAUCCUUCCGCAGGUUCACCUACGGAAA
This 204-nucleotide unclassified non-coding RNA is filed under the name uncultured fungus. Its description in RNAcentral is "sequence contains ITS1". Lineage: Eukaryota; Fungi. The record is from RNAcentral.